AGUGAACGCUGGCGGUAGGCCUAACACAUGCAAGUCGAACGGCAGCACAGUAAGAGCUUGCUCUUACGGGUGGCGAGUGGCGGACGGGUGAGGAAUACAUCGGACUCUACUUUUUCGUGGGGGAUAACGUAGGGAAACUUACGCUAAUACCGCAUACGACCUACGGGUGAAAGCAGGGGAUCUUCGGACCUUGCGCGAUUGAAUGAGCCGAUGUCGGAUUAGCUAGUUGGCGGGGUAAAGGCCCACCAAGGCGACGAUCCGUAGCUGGUCUGAGAGGAUGAUCAGCCACACUGGAACUGAGACACGGUCCGGACUCCUACGGGAGGCAGCAGUGGGGAAUAUUGGACAAUGGGCGCAAGCCUGAUCCAGCCAUACCGCGUGGGUGAAGAAGGCCUUCGGGUUGUAAAGCCCUUUUGUUGGGAAAGAAAAGCAGCAGGUUAAUACCCCGCUGUUCUGACGGUACCCAAAGAAUAAGCACCGGCUAACUUCGUG
This 492-nucleotide ribosomal RNA is filed under the name uncultured bacterium. RNAcentral's name for it is "partial 16S ribosomal RNA". It matches the Rfam family "Bacterial small subunit ribosomal RNA", at positions 29 to 507 of the family's 1533-position model. The record is from RNAcentral.